RNA transcript from Neltuma alba, 1780 nucleotides. It is a transcript of the gene named protein LOL1-like, with no coding region annotated. The transcript has 6 exons. NCBI's taxonomy places the organism in Eukaryota, Viridiplantae, Streptophyta, Magnoliopsida, Fabales, Fabaceae. The record is from RefSeq and is a predicted model, not a curated record.
AAAUGCUCACUUAUAUCCUUUCUUUCAUUUCCUCCUUCUCCUCCCUCUCUCUUUCUCUCUCCUCAAACUUCUUCCGUAGAAGCAGAGUAGCUAAGGGCACGUGUUUGCCGCACUACCCCCAUUAUUCAACUAAAUUUCAUUUCCUGUGGAGAAGGGUGCUCAUGCUUUUCUGAUUCUGGGCUUCUUGCAUGGCUUUCUGAGGAGAACUUUGUGUAAUCUGACUCUACUAUUCAGUUACACAGGCUGUGCUCUCAUUGGCAAUUGGCAUCAAUGGCAAAUUGAAUUGUGAAAUGGGAGAGAGAGUUUUGUUCUCUGCGUAGAUAUUGGAAGAGAAAGAAAUAUUAUUCUUGAGAGAUUAUAAUGCCAGUUCCACUUGCCCCUUACCCUACACCCCCAGCUCCAUAUACGCCUCCAGCUAAUGGAGGUACACAACAGAGUCAGCUUGUGUGUUGUGGGUGUAGAAACCUUCUGCUCUAUCCAGUUGGAGCAACAUCUGUGUGCUGUGCUGUUUGCAAUGCAGUCACUGCAGUGCCACCUCCUGGCACAGAAAUGGCCCAGUUGGUUUGUGGAGUCUGCCACACUUUACUCAUGUACAUACGUGGGGCGACAAGCGUGAAAUGCUCCUGCUGUCACACUGUCAAUCUGGCUCUGGAAGGUAUUCAACUAUUUAAGCAAAUCAGGUGGCACAUGUCAAUUGUGGAAACUGUAGAAUGCUACUGAUGUACCAAUAUGGAGCAAGAUCUGUUAAAUGUGCAGUCUGCAAUUUUGUAACAUCUGUUGGGACCUCGGCAAGCACAGUUGAGCAGAAGUUCAGCGCCUAAAUCUUCACAGUAACAAAGUCGUAUGAGAAUCUACCACUCUUGAUGUGGAUAUCAGAAGGCAGAUGCGUUAUUUUCAUAUUCACAUCAUGUAUAGAGUUAUUGCCCUGUCGUGAUUUUGUCCAAUAAUUUUGAUAACUUGGGUGUACGGAUAACUAUUCAUGAUAAGAUUCUUGAUUCUGUGUGCUUUGAAAAUCUGCAUGUUUAGAUAAGGUGAGUUCGAUUUUUCUCUCGUUGCCAACUUUUUUGAAAAGCAUCGCCACAACUUGAUCUCUAUUCUGUCUUUUGAAUCAGCAUAAAAGUCAAAGUAUAGCCAUCAAGGUUAGCAGUCAAAAUAAGGAACUAGAUGGUUUAAUUGUGCAGGAUAAGAUGCCACCGAGCACUUUGAUCAACUGGAAGGAGUUGUUCCAGCUUAAUCAAAGGUUACAGGUUCGGUCUUUUGGGAACACGAUAAUAUAGGUGGUAAGGUCACUGCUCAUAUAGGUCAUACUAUGGUUUGAUCUAGAUUAGUCAUGUUUGUAAUUCCCUGAGGGGUUGGCCAGGAUAUUGGGUGCAUAUGCAAGGGAAAAAAAAUGUGUUCGAUAACAUCUGGGUUUGUUCAAAUAUAGAUUUUGAAAAUUGAUUGAGGUAAGGCUUAUUCAACAGAGGUUGUUUAUUGCAGAGUUUUGUAAUUGCUGACUUUGACCAGCAUGGCUUAUUUCAUGAGUCCUCUAGACACACCAACAAUCAGAUAGACACUAGAAACCUUAUCAAAAUCCAGCAUGAGCUUUUUGGCUUUGGUUGACCAACUUGCCCAUGCUACUUUCAGUGAACCUCCAAAAUGGGUUUCUGAAUAUUAUUUUUUCCAAUUAAUUUAGUUUCUUCUUUUGCUGGGCUGGCAUGGAUAAUUAUACAAUAUAAAAUUUUAUAGCAAGCUGUAUUAUUUGUAUUUGAAAAGUGUUUAUGAAGGUAUUUUUGAAGUA